CUCAGGCAUACAAGUUCUCAGAAAAUAUGCCACCUGGAGACACACAUUGAAAACAUUUUUGAGGAAGUACAGAAAUGAGAAGACAAAUUAAAAAACCCCCAAAUGCUUUAAGAGAUCUCAACAAGUAAGAGUAUUAUACAUUUAUGUAAAGUUUAUUGUAGCCUUAAGAAAGAAAGAGCAACUAGGACCAAACAAAGAGAAAGUUUACCUACUACAAUACAAAACUAAAAUCUUAGAUAUUGUCAAUAUGACGCGGGUGCUUUGGGAAAAAAUAAAAAGAACAGGAGAACGUAUGCGAAUAUCUACUUCUUUUGUUAGGGUAAUAAUGUGGAUGAGAUACAAAUCGGAAGAAAAUAAUUAAGGUUAUGGUUGUAUAGGUCAUGACACAGAAAGCAUAUCAAUAAUUUAUCAAGGAACAUUUAAUGUAACAGUUAUGGACUAACAAAAGAUGGUUCAACUUUCAACAAAGUUAACAAAACUAUUGAGAGAGGUAAAAGAUAAGUGUAGACUAGCAAGCGGAGUCUGGAAGUUCCCAGGCCAAGGACCGAACCUGUGCCACAGCAGUGAUGAUGCUGGAUCCUUAACCCACUGAGCCACCAGGGAACUCCACAGAAUAGCAAAUGUAGGUAGUCCUACUACCUUUAAGGUUGAGGGAGGAUACGCAAGGGAGGAACAAGCUUGGAACAGGCCCCCUUCCCAAGGCUGAGGUUCGUGUGUCCUUUCCUUGGGGAGGGGGAGGCUGUAGCUCACUGGGUGAUGGAAUUGCACUGGAGAGCUACAACUCAGAGCUGGGGUGCAGCGGGCAGGCCAGCGCUGGUUAGCUGGAAGCCGUCCCCAGGGUGAAGAUGCAGUUUGCUGGAGAGUGAGUGGUACUGGGUCUCCAAAGGAGACAUCUCAGAAACGGAAGAUCCGGGAAGGGAAGCCACCGCCUCUGCUCAGCCUUGCCGUGUCCCGCCAGUGCCCUCUGCUGAUAAGGCCCGACACUGUACCAGCUGGUAAGUUAGAAUGCUCACAGGGGCCACUUCCAGGUGGCACUGGAGCUGACAAGCGCUAAACUGAUGCCUGGCAUAGUCCUCCCCCGUUUUUCCCCCAGUCAGGGCUGCAUUGUCAACUUUCAUCAUUCAUGUUCUGUGUUAUCGAAUAGUCUGUCUUGGGCACAUGUUCUGGUUAUCGUUUCCCUGCAUUGCUUCAUUUUUGGACUGUUUUUCAGCUCUGUGAGGUUUAGAAAGUGAAUAAUAACGCAAAUAAUUUUAGUCCGUAGACACGGCAGUGAAUUGUUUCCAGUGAAACACAAAAAGUUGACUCUUCCUGUGGUUAGACCAUUUCGUAUCUGUAAAUUCAUUCUAGCAUUCCUAGUUGCCCAUAAGUAUGAUCGUUGGAGCGCUCCUUCGAUCUAGUCGUGACGUGAUACUGGUUUCCUCAUUAAUUGAUGAGGUGAGUAAAAUAUUUGACAUGUAUUAAUUUUAUAUUUGUAUGAGCGUUAUGAUCUUAUCUUUCAAAAAAAAUUACAUCUUAAAUCAGCCAGUCCUAGAGCCGCCAAGUUCAUAGAGAUGAAAAGUAGAACGUGGUAAGGAGUUCCCUGGUCACCUAGUGGUUAAUUGCUGUGGCCCGGGGUUAAUCUCUGGUCUGGGAACUAAGAUCCCACAUCAAGCUGCUGUAUGCCAUGGUCAAAAAAAAAAUUUUUUUUUAAAUGUGGUUGUCCAAGCCUGGGGGAAGAAGGGCAUGGAGAGUUAUUAUUUAAUGGGUACCAAGCGUCAGUUUGAGAAGAUCAGAAAGUUCUGGAGAUAGAUGGUGGUGAUGGUUGCACAAAAAAAAAUGAGAAUGUCCUUAAUGCCACUAAAUUGAAGGUUUAAAAAAGGGAUAAAAUGGUAAAAAACCCAAAAGGAUAAAAUGGUAGAGUUCGUGUUACACAUAUGUGACCACAAUAUAAAAAACAAAAAUUAAAAGUUGUACACCAGCUACAUUCAUUGCUUCUCAAAUUCAGUCAUAGUUCUCCUACAUAUUCUAUUACCUAGAGAAUACAGACUAUAUUGCAGGAGUUCCCACUGUGACACAGCAGAAACAAAUCUGACUAGUAUCCUUGAGGAUGUGGGUUUGAUUCCUGGCCUCGCUCAGUGGGUUGGGGAAUCCGGCAUUGCCAUGAGCUAUGGUGUAGGUCAGAUGUGGUUCAGAUCUUGCUUUGCUGUGGCUGUGACGUAGGCUGGCAGCUGCAGCUCUGAUUUGUCCCCUAGCCUGGGAAUUUCCAUAUGCCUCAGGUACAGCCCUAAAAAAGCAGAAAAAAAUUAAAACUAAAAGAAGACUAUACUGUAAAGUUAGCCUCCAACAACUUGGACAUGGAAUAAUGGGGAAAAGAGUAAUAUUUACAGAUAUCUUUUUUAAAUUUGUAAACAUUUUUAUUAAUUUUUUUUGUCUUUUUGUCUCUUUAGGGCCACACCUGCAGCAUAUGGAGGUUCCCAGGUUAGGGGUCUAAUUGCAGCUGUAGCCACCAGCCUAUACCAGAGCCACAGCAACACCAGAUCUGAGCCGAGUCACACAGCUCAUGGCAACACUGGAUCCUUAACCCACUGAGCGAGGCGAGGGAUCAAACCUGCAACCUCAUGGCUCCUAGUCAGAUUCAUUAACCGCUGAGCCAUGACAGGAACUCCUUACAAAUAUCUUGAUCAGAAACAAUGCUGUCGGUUGGAGUUCUCUUGUUUUUGGGUUAAGGAUCCAUCACUGCAGGGGCUUGGCAUGGUGUGGGUUUGAUCCCUGGCCCAAGAACUUCCAGACACCGUGAAUGACACCAACACCCCGCCCCCAAACAAACGAACGAAAAGAAGCAAUGGUGUGUGGAAUACCAUGCUCGCCGACAAGGCGUUCUGAGUCUCUGGAUGGAGGGAUAUGGCAGUCUGAGCCUACCUGGCAGAAUUACGGGGGAAAAGGCAUCUAUACCGAACAUGUCUAUUCUAAUGAGGCGGAUUUUCUGCCCAAUCAACAGUGGAAGAGUUACAGUGUAAUCAGCCUUCUCCCAGGUGGGUCCCGACAACCCUGAGCAAUGGUGUCCCAUCAGGGAGCCAUCGCUGGUCACUGCUGUUGGCAGCUAAGGCCCUCAGCCAUAGCGUUCACCGGGGCAGCCUUGGUAAUGAGAAGUGCAUGCUGUGGCGUCCAUGGCUAGCCUCCAUCCCUGCCGUGACAGUCUGGGGAAACAGGUGGUUUGCCGUCCACUGAGCGCGUUGUCUGUCCGCGGGAUGAUUGAGAGCCUCCUCCGCAGUGAGCCCCCUUUGGGAAGUGGGCGUUUAUAUAGGUGGACACAAUCUCUCUUCAGCCCCUGUCCUUUUCAAGAAGACAAUGGACAUUCCUCUUCUCCUCGGCUCUUUGUCACCAACGUUUCAAUCCAACAACCACCAAGCAGGGGCGUACAUGCAUCUGUCUUCUCACGUCAGACAAGCUGCCUGGGUUGCCGCAACACAUGGCCACAAUCAGGUGGCUUAGAACAAUGGAAGUUAAUAUUAUCUCACAGUUCUGGAGGCAAGGAGUCUGAAAUCAAACUGUCAGCAAGCCCAUGCUCCAUCCAAAAGGCUCCAAGGGAGGGUGAUUUCUUACCCCUUCCUGGCUUCUGGGGGCUGCUGGCAAACCUCGGUGCUCCCUGACUCAGAGACAACUCAGCCGCUUCCCUGCUGCUGUCAUCACACGGGUUUCCGUGUGUAUCGUGUCCAAAUUUCCCUCUUUUAAGGACACCGGUCAUGGGAUUAGGGUCCACCUUGAUCCAGUAUGACCUCAUGUUAACCUGAUUAUACCUGCACAUAUGCUAUUUCCAAAUUAGACCACAUUCGCAGGUGCUGGGUAGGCAUGCUUUUGGGGGGAGAACAUUAUUCAGCCCAGUACAGCAGAUAAUUCUCCCAGGAGGAUUUCCCUUCACCACCAUCCAUUAGGGUCAUUUCUGGUCCUAAGCAUAUUGCAAUGAAGUAAAAAUUUAAUUACACAAGGAUAGAUAAAUUUCAGAUAUUUGGAAAUUGUUACAUAUUAGUUAAUGAACUUUAUGUUAAAAAAAAGGAAAGUACAAAGUAAAUUAACACUUAGAAAUAAACAACAAUGAAAACAGGAGUUCCUGUUGUGGCUCAGAGGGUUAAGAACCUGAUUAGUAUCUAUGAGGAUGCAGGUUCUAUCCCUGGCCUUUCUCAGUAGGUUAAGGAUCCGGCAUUGCCGUGAGCUGUGGUGUAGGUUGUAGACACAGCUCCAAUCCAGUGUUGCUGUGGCUGUGGUGCAGGCCAGCAGAUGCAGCGCUG
This 4265-nucleotide long non-coding RNA is filed under the name Sus scrofa (pig). Its description in RNAcentral is "lncRNA (ENSSSCG00015032367.1)". The record is from RNAcentral. Lineage: Eukaryota; Metazoa; Chordata; Mammalia; Artiodactyla; Suidae.